Molecule: ribosomal RNA, 494 nt
Filed under: uncultured bacterium
Lineage: Bacteria
Description: partial 16S ribosomal RNA
Rfam family: Bacterial small subunit ribosomal RNA
Source: RNAcentral
ACGCACGCUGGCGGCGUGCCUCAUCCCUGCCAGUAGAACGCUGAAGGAGGAGCUUGCUCUUCUGGAUGAGUUGCGAACGGGUGAGUAACGCGUAGGUAACCUGCCUGGUAGCGGGGGAUAACUAUUGGAAACGAUAGCUAAUACCGCAUAACAGUAGAUGUUGCAUGACAUUUACUUAAAAGGUGCAAUUGCAUCACUACCAGAUGGACCUGCGUUGUAUUAGCUAGUUGGUGGGGUAACGGCUCACCAAGGCGACGAUACAUAGCCGACCUGAGAGGGUGAUCGGCCACACUGGGACUGAGACACGGCCCAGACUCCUACGGGAGGCAGCAGUAGGGAAUCUUCGGCAAUGGACGGAAGUCUGACCGAGCAACGCCGCGUGAGUGAAGAAGGUUUUCGGAUCGUAAAGCUCUGUUGUAAGAGAAGAACGAGUGUGAGAGUGGAAAGUUCACACUGUGACGGUAUCUUACCAGAAAGGGACGGCUAACUACGUG